CCUACGGGUGGUGCAGUGGGGAAUAUUGCACAAUGGGCGCAAGCCUGAUGCAGCCAUGCCGCGUGUGUGAAGAAGGCCUUCGGGUUGUAAAGCACUUUCAGCGGGGAGGAAGGCGGUGAGGUUAAUAACCUCAUCGAUUGACGUUACCCGCAGAAGAAGCACCGGCUAACUCCGUGCCAGCAGCCGCGGUAAUACGGAGGGUGCAAGCGUUAAUCGGAAUUACUGGGCGUAAAGCGCACGCAGGCGGUCUGUCAAGUCGGAUGUGAAAUCCCCGGGCUCAACCUGGGAACUGCAUUCGAAACUGGCAGGCUAGAGUCUUGUAGAGGGGGGUAGAGUUCCAGGUGUAGCGGUGAAAUGCGUAGAGAUCUGGAGGAAUACCGGUGGCGAAGGCGGCCCCCUGGACAAAGACUGACGCUCAGGUGCGAAAGCGUGGGGAGCAAACAGGAUUAAUACCCCGGUAGUC
RNAcentral lists this ribosomal RNA (463 nucleotides) under uncultured bacterium. Its description in RNAcentral is "bacterial SSU rRNA". It matches the Rfam family "Bacterial small subunit ribosomal RNA", at positions 338 to 795 of the family's 1533-position model. The record is from RNAcentral.